CCUCUCAGGGAAGAGAACACUCAAGGACAGACCUGAAGGAAGUGAGGGAGGGACUAGGCAGACAGCUAGAGAACAGAGUCCCGGAAGUACAAAGGUCCUGAGGUGGAAACCAGCGUGUGUUUGAAGAAGCGUGGGGAGGCCACUGUGGCUGAGGCAGAGUAAACAAAAGGAGAGCAGAGGGAAUGAGGCCAGGGAGAAGAGGAGACGUUUGCCCAGGUGCAAUGAAGGGCGCCCAGGGCCCAGGUCCCAGCCUGUCUCAAGUGGAGAUGAUGAGAAGUGGCAGAAUUCUGGAAGGUGAUUGAAAACCAUUACAAGUUGACGCGAAGGGGAUCAGCUUUGAAGGCAGAGCUGAAUAUGAUUUUACAAAGGGCACAGCGACUCACAAAUCACCUUGCUGAGCAAGUUUCUCAGCCAAAGAGAGAGUUAUCUAAGGCUCUAAUUUUUCCAUAUCCACUUUAUUCAUUCAACAAACCCUGUGUAAGGAAUUCCUGGCUGCUCAGUACUGGCCUGAAUGCACUUGCUUCUCUGUGGACCAAUUCCCCAGAUAUGACUCUUUCAAUUCAAGUAAGGGUUAGAUUUUCUUGUUUAUUCUAAUUGUCAGUGUUUUUACUGCAACUUUUGAGAGUUCUGCAGGAAGUCUCUGACAAAAAUGAAAGCCUUUGGCAAGUGUCUGAGGAAGUAGACAAUAGAGGGAGAUUCCCCUCCCUCAAGGACAUAUUAGUCACUUACAGAGAAAUAAUAUGACCUCCUUCUAAAUAAAAUAUUAAUUUGAAAGGGGAAUCUCCAUUGGAAUCUGGAGAGGUUGUGUAACAUUAAAAGCAAAUGGAAAUAAGAACGCGAAUGGUUCAGAGAAGUAAAGAAAACAGAAGCUCGAAAAUUGCACAUUCCUACAUUUGGGCAUCUAGAAAAGCUUUUGAAAAAUAAUCUAAUACCAGGUACCAACACAUCUGUAGGGAAAGCUAAAUAAGCUGUUUCUAUAAUUUCAAUGUAUCCUUGAGAUUAGUUGUUGUUGUUUCUAGUAUUGGAUAU
Camelus dromedarius (Arabian camel) is the source of this 1029-nucleotide long non-coding RNA. RefSeq lists it as uncharacterized. The transcript has 3 exons. The record is from RefSeq and is a predicted model, not a curated record. NCBI's taxonomy places the organism in Eukaryota, Metazoa, Chordata, Mammalia, Artiodactyla, Camelidae.